This 503-nucleotide ribosomal RNA is filed under the name uncultured bacterium. RNAcentral's name for it is "partial 16S ribosomal RNA". It matches the Rfam family "Bacterial small subunit ribosomal RNA", at positions 30 to 523 of the family's 1533-position model. The record is from RNAcentral.
AUUGAACGCUGGCGGCAGGCUUAACACAUGCAAGUCGAGCGGGGUGAUGGUGCUUGCACUAUCACUUAGCGGCGGACGGGUGAGUAAUGCUUAGGAAUCUGCCUAUUAGUGGGGGGCAACAUCUCGAAAGGGAUGCUAAUACCGCAUACGUCCUACGGGAGAAAGCAGGGGAUCACUUGUGACCUUGCGCUAAUAGAUGAGCCUAAGUCGGAUUAGCUAGUUGGUGGGGUAAAGGCCUACCAAGGCGACGAUCUGUAGCGGGUCUGAGAGGAUGAUCCGCAACACUGGGACGGAGACACGGCCCAGACUCCUACGGGAGGCAGCAGUGGGGAAUAUUGGACAAUGGGGGUAACCCUGAUCCAGCGAUGCCGCGUGUGUGAAGAAGGCCUUAUGGUUGUAAAGCACUUUAAGCGAGGAGGAGGCUCUUUUGGUUAAUACCCAAGAUGAGUGGACGUUACUCGCAGAAUAAGCACCGGCUAACUCUGUGCCAGCAGCCGCCGUAA